Transfer RNA from Cylindrobasidium torrendii FP15055 ss-10, 80 nucleotides. It matches the Rfam family "tRNA". From Rfam's summary of the family: Transfer RNA (tRNA) molecules are approximately 80 nucleotides in length. Their secondary structure includes four short double-helical elements and three loops (D, anti-codon, and T loops). Further hydrogen bonds mediate the characteristic L-shaped molecular structure. tRNAs have two regions of fundamental functional importance: the anti-codon, which is responsible for specific mRNA codon recognition, and the 3' end, to which the tRNAs corresponding amino acid is attached (by aminoacyl-tRNA synthetases). tRNAs cope with the degeneracy of the genetic code in two manners: having more than one tRNA (with a specific anti-codon) for a particular amino acid; and 'wobble' base-pairing, i.e. permitting non-standard base-pairing at the 3rd anti-codon position. The record is from Rfam. NCBI's taxonomy places the organism in Eukaryota, Fungi, Basidiomycota, Agaricomycetes, Agaricales, Physalacriaceae.
GGGGUCAUAGCUCAGUUGGGAGAGCAGCAGACUGAAGUUUCGAAUUCUGAAGGUCCCCAGUUCAAUCCUGGGUGACCCCA